GCGCCGAUGGUGUAGGGGUUAUCACCGGGCCUUGCCAAGGCUCAGACCCGGGUUCGAAUCCCGGUCGGCGCA
This 72-nucleotide transfer RNA is filed under the name Candidatus Mnemosynella bozhongmuii. RNAcentral describes it as "tRNA-Gly". It matches the Rfam family "tRNA". From Rfam's summary of the family: Transfer RNA (tRNA) molecules are approximately 80 nucleotides in length. Their secondary structure includes four short double-helical elements and three loops (D, anti-codon, and T loops). Further hydrogen bonds mediate the characteristic L-shaped molecular structure. tRNAs have two regions of fundamental functional importance: the anti-codon, which is responsible for specific mRNA codon recognition, and the 3' end, to which the tRNAs corresponding amino acid is attached (by aminoacyl-tRNA synthetases). tRNAs cope with the degeneracy of the genetic code in two manners: having more than one tRNA (with a specific anti-codon) for a particular amino acid; and 'wobble' base-pairing, i.e. permitting non-standard base-pairing at the 3rd anti-codon position. Lineage: Archaea; Methanobacteriati; Methanobacteriota; Archaeoglobi; Candidatus Mnemosynellales; Candidatus Mnemosynellaceae. The record is from RNAcentral.